AGAGUUGUAUCCUGGCUCAGAUUGAACGCUGGCGGCAUGCCUUACACAUGCAAGUCGAACGGUAACAGGUCUUCGGAUGCUGACGAGUGGCGAACGGGUGAGUAAUACAUCGGAACGUGCCCGAUCGUGGGGGAUAACGCAGCGAAAGCUGUGCUAAUACCGCAUAAGAUCUAAGGAUGAAAGCGGGGGACUCGUAAGGGCCUCGCGCGAACGGAGCGGCCGAUGGCAGAUUAGGUAGUUGGUGGGAUAAAAGCUUACCAAGCCGACGAUCUGUAGCUGGUCUGAGAGGACGACCAGCCACACUGGGACUGAGACACGGCCCAGACUCCUACGGGAGGCAGCAGUGGGGAAUUUUGGACAAUGGGCGCAAGCCUGAUCCAGCAAUGCCGCGUGCAGGAUGAAGGCCUUCGGGUUGUAAACUGCUUUUGUACGGAGCGAAAAGGUUCUGGUUAAUACCUGGGGCCCAUGACGGUACCGUAAGAAUAAGCACCGGCUAACUACGUGCCAGCAGCCGCGGUAAUACGUAGGGUGCGAGCGUUAAUCGGAAUUACUGGGCGUAAAGCGUGCGCAGGCG
Molecule: ribosomal RNA, 574 nt
Filed under: uncultured beta proteobacterium
Lineage: Bacteria; Pseudomonadati; Pseudomonadota; Betaproteobacteria
Description: bacterial SSU rRNA
Rfam family: Bacterial small subunit ribosomal RNA
Source: RNAcentral